Long non-coding RNA from Gossypium raimondii (Peruvian cotton), 2097 nucleotides. RefSeq lists it as uncharacterized. The record is from RefSeq and is a predicted model, not a curated record. The transcript is spliced from 2 exons. Lineage: Eukaryota; Viridiplantae; Streptophyta; Magnoliopsida; Malvales; Malvaceae.
AGUUGCAACCGAAAAACUUUCAUUCCCACUUCGAUUUCACCAUUGUUGCAUAAAUUAUCCAACAAUAUCGAUUUCCCCUUCCAGACGUUGAAUCCUCACUUUUAGCUUCUAUGUGGGUUUCCCCCAAUUCGGUGAGCCCACCACCAAACAUUAGUUUGGUUGGCUGUAAUGGUAUUACAGCCUGAAUCCAUUCCAGCUCUAUUACGGGAAAACGUUGAAUAGGCAUUCCCUUCCUUCACCAGUGAAUAGCCAUUCCAUUCCACGGGAGUAAAUUUUUUUUCUUCCCAUUUUCAUUUUUUGCCCUCAGCUUCAUCUUCUCCUUUCCUUUCCAUCUCUGCGUUUCCCUUUUUUUCCUUCUUAUUUCCCCAUCUGCUGCUACUGUAGGAAUGCUGAGAGAUUACCUUCUUUCUUUUUCAUUUUUAGCCUCAUUUUUCAUCAUCCUCCUUUCUGCAGUUUCAACUACAGCCUCUACGUUCAUUACCUUCUCCAUUUAUAAAGCCCUGAACACCAUUGCCCCUCACCAAUUUUUUCAAUCUUUUCCUCGUAGCAAUCGAGAGCGUAGAAAUUUCCCAAUUAAGGGCAAAAUCUUCAGCAAGGAAAAAAAUUCAGACUUAAUUGAAGAACACAUUACAUUCUGGUUUUGAUUUCAAAGCGAUUCAAGAUAAGGUUUCCCUUCAUUUAAGACCUUGGCAUCGUUCAUUUCAGUUCUGGGUUCGAGCAGUUGAUAUUUAUGGGCUAUAAAUGAUGUUGAUGUUCCUCAGGUGCAACACUAUCGGCUUUUUCUGAAAGAACAUGUUGUUUUUAAGGAGGUAUUGUAUUCUUGAAUGUGUCUUAAUGAAAUGAUGGAGGUUUAGACUUGGAAGAAAUUUAGAUCAGGAAGAAAAUCCAGGAACUUUUAGAAAGAGUUCAUUUUAUGAUAUUUGAUUUUUAUAGGCUAUUCCAAUUAAAAAUCGCCUCGCCCUGUCAAAGAUACACCAGACAUACAGAGUUCAUUUUCUUUCUAUAAGUAUUAUCAUAGGGAUAUAAUUAUUAAGGUUCCAAAUGCUUUCAUCCUUGUUCCUUGCUGUGGCAUCUUUAAACACUAUUUGUGCUAAUUCUUUUACUGAAAGUUGUUUCCCCUCCUUAUAUCUAUAGAUGAGGUUUUUCCAUAAUUAAUUUUGUAGGAAUUAUUUGUUGCAUUUUUUUCAUUAUUUAUUGCAUGAGGUUAAUGGCUUGCUUGAGUUUUUCCAAGGUUCUUGGUAGUUAUAUCAAUUUUUGGUAAUUAUUUCUGGUUUGAAGCUGGUUAUAUAUUAUUGGAUCAUGGUGAUCAUUAUAUGUGUGCUUUGACUAAUCAAAUCUUGGUGGUAAUACAUUCCACGCUGUGUGUAAGUAGGAAUUUUUGUUCAUUUCAUCAAACCUAGGUGAAAUUUGUAAAUUAUGAGCCCCAACUCUUUUGCAAGUGAGCUGUAAAUUUGUCAUUGAUGUUCUUUUGUAUCAUUAAAUUUCUAUAAUUUCAGGAAUGAUGGAUUUCACAAGGUAAGUUUUUUAUUAAAUUUUUGCUUAUGUGCCAAGAGUCAAGAGUGGCUCAGAUGCCUUGAUCAAUGGCUGAGCCAUAAUAAUGGUCUCUAUACUGUGAUGGUAUACUGAAAGUGUGACUUCCAAGAACAAGUUCUAUUUACUGCAUUAUUUUCAGGUACUUUGGAUUAUAAAAGAAUUAGACAAAUGUGGUUGCUCUUUCAGAAGCGUAAGAGUGUGAUUCAGAUGCACCAAAGGAAAAUUUACGAUGAGGAAUGUCUGAAGAUUGAUAACAGUGAAAAGUAUACUUUGAAUAGGCAGUUAUUCGAAUCAAUAUCAAAGUCUCUCAAUGAAGCUGAAACGAAGGAAGAGAUUGAUGGCGUGGAUACAAAGUAGACUUUGAAUAAAGCUGUUAUCUGGGUUCAACAUAAUCUGCACCAUCUACGAUUUAUGUUAUUUGGAUUCGUUCCAUUGUAGGUGUUGAGUAGGGUAUGUAUGAUGUAUCUAGUGUAGGUUUAUUCAAUAUUUUUGAGAUUUUUAUGUACAAAAUUCUUAAAAGAUCCAUGUUUCAAUGUUAAUAAUACUAUAUGCUAUUUGCUCAAA